RNAcentral lists this long non-coding RNA (1013 nucleotides) under Anas platyrhynchos platyrhynchos (common mallard). RNAcentral describes it as "lncRNA (ENSAPLG00000021247.1)". The record is from RNAcentral. Lineage: Eukaryota; Metazoa; Chordata; Aves; Anseriformes; Anatidae.
GAAGGGAAAUUUGCAGUCUCCCGUCUUUGUGAAUAGAGUGUUUUUUUUCCAGGCCUUCCAGAUGACUGCACUGAUUGACAGGGCUGUUUUUGCCACUCUUGCGUAUCCCAGCUUCUUACAGGGUAGCUGAAACACAGAAACAAAAAAUACAGCCUGCAAAAGUGACAAACACAGAUUAAGUAACAAAGGAGUUUGAAAGAGCAGCCAAGGCAAGAAGCCGAUUAUCUGCUGUAGCAUGAAUUGUGAGGAGAAGCAGAGUCCCAUCACCCUACCACGAAUGGAGACCACAGUGACAAGAAGAAUAUCUGCAGUCCUCCUUUGCUGAUCAGGGAUAGCCCAACAGAGAAUGUGUUUCUGCUUUCAUAGACACAUCAGUCCUUGGAAAUGGGGAGCCUUGGUAACCCUUUUGCUUGGAAAUGGCUAGGAAAUGGAGCAGGACCUCACAACAUUCAGAUGCCACCCACGCUCCUGCCAGAAGUGCUGUCUCCCGAUCAUCCAGGACCAGUGUUGAUAAACACAGCUUUGAACUGUGAUUCAUUUUCCACCCACUGUUCAGACCUUCACCUGCCCUGAUUGUGCUUUUAUACCAAAAUCCAACACUCAGAUUAACUGUCCAUUAUGAGAUGCAUUGUGGUAAAUGCUACAGUUGACUGCAAUAGAUGGCACAUGUUUAGGAUUUUUUUUUUAUUAUUAUUAUUUUUUUCUGCUAAGAUCACAAGAGAAAAAGGAUGAGCAGAAAGAAUUUAAUAUUGGGUAUAAGGAGCGUGAGACACCAGUCACCUAGGAAGGUGACUUCCAUGGACUUCCCUUUCCUCUUAUUUUCAGAGUGCAAAAGACUUUCAAAAAGACUUCUCACAAACAAGCAAAACUUUAUAGACAUGUUUUAAAAAAGAGUUUGCUGAAAUCCCCUCCAGCACUUGUAGGGCUACGGGUUACAUGAGCAGAGCAAAAUAUCGUUGCUAGAAUCCAGAGAUUUUUCCUGGGUAAAAUCACACCCUAGAAAUCCCUGUAUG